Non-coding RNA from Odocoileus virginianus texanus, 73 nucleotides. The record is from the annotation of a RefSeq genome assembly. Lineage: Eukaryota; Metazoa; Chordata; Mammalia; Artiodactyla; Cervidae.
UCCCUGAUGGUCCAGUGGCUAAGAUUCUGCCCUUGGAAUGCAGGAGACCCAGGUUCGAUCCCUGGUCAGGGAA